GACGAACGCUGGCGGCGUGCUUAACACAUGCAAGUCGAGCGGUAAGGCCCUUUCGGGGGUACACGAGCGGCGAACGGGUGAGUAACACGUGGGUGACCUGCCCUCAGCUCUGGGAUAAGCCUGGGAAACCGGGUCUAAUACCGGAUAUGACUCCAUGACGCAUGUUGUGGGGUGGAAAGCCUUGUGCGGCUGAGGAUGGGCCCGCGGCCUAUCAGCUUGUUGGUGGGGUGAUGGCCUACCAAGGCGACGACGGGUAGCCGGCCUGAGAGGGCGACCGGCCACACUGGGACUGAGACACGGCCCAGACUCCUACGGGAGGCAGCAGUGGGGAAUCUUGCGCAAUGGGCGAAAGCCUGACGCAGCGACGCCGCGUGAGGGAUGACGGCCUC
RNAcentral lists this ribosomal RNA (389 nucleotides) under uncultured bacterium. RNAcentral describes it as "bacterial SSU rRNA". It matches the Rfam family "Bacterial small subunit ribosomal RNA", at positions 28 to 418 of the family's 1533-position model. The record is from RNAcentral.